Molecule: ribosomal RNA, 253 nt
Filed under: uncultured bacterium
Lineage: Bacteria
Description: partial 16S ribosomal RNA
Rfam family: Bacterial small subunit ribosomal RNA
Source: RNAcentral
UCCGUAGGGUGCAAGCGCUAAUCGGAAUUACUGGGUGUAAAGCGUGCGCAGGCGGUUUUGUAAGUCUGUCGUGAAAUCCCCGGGCUCAACCUGGGAAUUGCGAUGGAGACUGCAAGGCUAGAAUCUGGCAGAGGGGGGUAGAAUUCCACGUGUAGCAGUGAAAUGCGUAGAGAUGUGGAGGAACACCGAUGGCGAAGGCAACCCCCUGGGUCAAGAUUGACGCUCAUGCACGAAAGCGUGGGGAGCAAACAGG